UGGGGAAUAUUGCACAAUGGGCGAAAGCCUGAUGCAGCGACGCCGCGUGCGGGAUGAAGGCCUUCGGGUUGUAAACCGCUUUUGAUUGGGAGCAAGCGAGAGUGAGUGUACCUUUCGAAUAAGCACCGGCUAACUACGUGCCAGCAGCCGCGGUAAUACGUAGGGUGCAAGCGUUAUCCGGAAUUAUUGGGCGUAAAGAGCUCGUAGGCGGUUUGUCGCGUCUGGUGUGAAAGUCCAUCGCUUAACGGUGGAUCUGCGCCGGGUACGGGCAGGCUAGAGUGCGACAGGGGAGACUGGAAUUCCCGGNGUAAC
Molecule: ribosomal RNA, 312 nt
Filed under: uncultured bacterium
Lineage: Bacteria
Description: partial 16S ribosomal RNA
Rfam family: Bacterial small subunit ribosomal RNA
Source: RNAcentral